ACUAAACAGCUUCUUUUGUUCCCCUUUUUGCCCCUCCUCCUUCGUUGAUAGCCUUUCGUCCGCUGAGACAGAGCCCUCCCUUCGGUUCAUUUCCAACCAGCUGGUUGGGGGGCAGCCAUGGAAGCUUUGUGUUCGUUGCUGGGCAUGCAUUGGAGGUCGUCGAUUUUUGGUUGGGAGGUGAGCUGCAAAUCCAGCCGCAGCUUUGGCAUCGGGAGAUUUCGUUUUUUCCACAUCCUUCGACUGAGGCUUCUAUCUUUCUUGCUUACGAAUCUUUGCAUCGUUGCUCUUCAGAUGCUGGGUUCGCUUCUAACCAGGUUGGUUGGCCUGGUUGCGGGGCAAUGAUGGAAGAGGUCGGUCUACUGUUGGAGAUUAUCUGGAGGCUUCGAUUUUUAUAGGAGUGGCGUGCGUUGGUCUUCUUCUUCAGAUCGAACUCCAGCUUUCUCUCUGUUUCAGUCUCUUUCUCUCACUGAUCUUUGCUAGGGACUGGAAUGGAUACGCAGGAUACAUCUCCUUCAGUGUUGCUAUUCUUUGACAAGGAAAGAUUUAUAUUUAAUGCUGGAGAGUAUGAAUCACAGUUAGGCAGUCAUCCAAUUGCUUCAGGUAUGACUUAUGAAAAUUAAAAAGUUAUUCAAAUCUACGUGUUGUAUUGAAACUUUGGAAUUUUAUCUCAACAGAUUCAAUUGUCUCUCACCUCUCUGACAUAUAAGCAAUCACUGAAGCAAAGAAGCGAAGAUAACUUUCAGGUGAGCUUGGGUGGAAAUCCAAAUACGAGAAGCAGUCGUUCGCCCAAAUUGUUUAACCAUUCUUCGCUUUAAAGAGUCAAGACCUCCAUCAAAGAGAAGAAAAGUCAUGAAGAAAUUGCAAAACAAAGCCCAACGAAUUAAACAACGUGCUGCUCAAAACUAUUCAAAUUUUGCUAUUUUAAUAGCUCCUUCCCACUAUUAACAUCUCAAUGUAUAUACAAACAUGUGUACUAUUUUAACAUAACAAGUAGCUUAUAAAAUAUGUGAUUUCUUUUUUUUCCACUUAUACUUCCUUAGUUAAGCAUAAUGCUACGAGUUAAAUCUCAUUGUAUAUAUAAACAAUUUUAUUUUGUC
Long non-coding RNA from Prunus dulcis (almond), 1097 nucleotides. RefSeq lists it as uncharacterized. Lineage: Eukaryota; Viridiplantae; Streptophyta; Magnoliopsida; Rosales; Rosaceae. The record is from RefSeq and is a predicted model, not a curated record. The transcript has 6 exons.